This 7164-nucleotide long non-coding RNA is filed under the name Equus caballus (horse). RNAcentral's name for it is "lncRNA (ENSECAG00000045571.1)". Lineage: Eukaryota; Metazoa; Chordata; Mammalia; Perissodactyla; Equidae. The record is from RNAcentral.
GGAGCUCUGACCGCCCGUGGGUCCUGUCCCCACGCACCAGCUCUGCCUGCCCAUGGGUCCUGUCCCCAUGCCAGCGGCAGCAGCAGCAGAAGCUCUGCCUGCCCAUGGGUCCUGUCCCCAUGCUAUUCCACACUAUUCUCUAAAUAAAAGAGCACUACUGCCAGAUCUUGAGAGUCUAAGAAAUCUUUCUUUCGACUCCUCGGCUCACCGAUCCCGCAUCAUUUCUGGUGGCCCGUACGGGGAAUUGCUUCAUCGGCUUGUGAGCUCGAGUUCUGGUAAGUGCCCUUUUCUUCCUUGUGCCUUUCUCUUUUUCAAGGAUGGAUCUAGAUUCACUGCUCCAUCGGGAACUUUCUCGGACAGCUGUAUGAAUCCACGUUUGCUGCCCAUGGCUACUCUAUGGGGCAAAUUGUGGCAUUCAGCUUGAAGAGAUUCAGUACCUUAAGCCUCAGGGUGAUGGAGAAUGAAUUAAUCCAUUCCUUCCUGCUCUUUUUCAAGGAUGGAUCUAGAUUCACUGCUCCAUCGGGAACUUUCUUGGAUGGCUGUAUGAAUCCACGUUUGCUGCCCAUGGCUACUCUAUGGGGCAAAUUGUGGCAUUCAGCUUGAAGAGAUUCAGUACCUUAAGCCUCAGGGUGAUGGAGAAUGAAUUAAUCCAUUCCUUCCUGACUCUAUCUCUAAUAGACAAAUUUUACGUGGGCGCGGGUCGGCCACUUAAGUCGUUAGGACGGCCGCCAAUCUCCAAGACUCCCGUGGAAGGUUUCUUUUCCUAAGGCUGGAUUGGCAUCCCUCCCUCUGGCACCUGACCACGCUCUGAACUGCGAGGAAAGUCCCACUCGGGACUCCAGUUCAAGGGAAGUACCAAACUCUAACCUUUGGUGGAGUAUGGGAACCCCUUCUUGGGAGAAUGGCUCCAGGAUGCAAUUGGGUAGAAUGUCCCCCAGACUGGCGGAAAAUUCCUCACUGUCUUUCUCUUUCUCACUGUCUUUGUCCUUUUCUCUCCUGGGGACCAUACGCCAGGCACCUAUUACUGUCAGGCAGAAUAGGGAAGAUGUUCAAGGGAUGCCCCCAUCAUCCCUUGCUACAGGAACUCCAUUGGGGGGAUUUUCAAGGUAAUGGCCCCUUUUCUUUCUCCUUUUCUCUCGGGAACCAUUCACCAGGCCUAUGCUGUCAGGCAGAAUAGGCACCAGGCACCUGUUACUGCCAGGCAUAACAGGGAAGGUAUACAAGGGAUGCAAUGCUGGGGGACGCCCCCAUCACCCCUUGCUAUAGGAACCCCACAGUAGGAACAACGGGUAGGACGCUGCCCUAGGUUCAGGGGGGAUUUUUCAUGGUAAUGGACCCGUUUCUUUUGUCUCUCUUGGAGUUACAAUGGCAAUUUUCAUCUCCUUUUGAGCCUUGUGACUGGGAAACAAAGAAAUCUUUAAAGAGUAAAAGGCUCCACCCCUGGGAGCCCCAACUUUGGGUUUCUGGGCCUGAUCACCCCAGCAACCCUAAGUGGGGGUGCCCUCUCUUGACAGUCGACUCAUUGAGUAUUUUAGUCACCUACUGAGUCGGUUAUGAGGGUAGGAGACCUGUGAUUUAUUCUGUGAACUGUCGUGCUAGCGUAGUGUGCCCCAGUACAGGAACUGUUGUGUGACUCUUAUCUUGAUAACCCUCUGGAAGAGGCCAUGAGGGUGAGGUCUGAUCUCUUCUUUUCCUUUCUUUGUCUGUUUUGCUCACCAUCUCUUCUGUUGUCACCAAGUAGAGGUUAAGUUCAGGUUAGACCUGAGCAGAACCUUGACCUUCUGUAAAAUUGGAAAAAUAAGCCUUUUGCCAGGGAUUUAACUCUCAAACCUGGCUCUGGGAGCCCCAGCCUCCAGCCAGUUCCAGGCCUUUGCCUCCUGCUUCCCUACCUCAACUUUGCUGGCUCAGAGACAAAGUGCCCAGGCUGAGCGGGACUUGACUAAAUCUUAUAACUAUGUCAACACCCGCAAUCGGCCUCUGCACACCCGCAAUCGGCCUCUGCACCCUUUCUCCAGCUGCUGUCAGUCAGACACUGGCUUUACCGCCACGGGGAAGGUUCCUAAGCAUCCCCAGAGACCCACCCUGUGGAUGCGUUCUAACUCCAUCUGGGAGAAAAUUUGAGGGGUUUCUCUGUGCCUUUGUGAUGCAGUUGGACAGGUAGAUCAACCUGGAAUGUAAUUUGAGUUACAAUCCAGUUUCUGGGAAAUCAAGAGCAACUGUCCUUAGAAAAUCCUUGCAAGACUGGAAAUACAGCUCUAGAGGCAGUUCAGAUUCCACCUAGUUCCUUUAUCACAGAAAGGAUUAUCAUCUCCCCUCUCCAGGAACUACUAUCUAGCCCAUCACUAAUUCCUAAGACUGAAAAAAAAAAAAAAAAAGAAAGAAAGAAAGAAAGAGGAGGGGAGAGGGAAAACGGCCAUAAGCGUGCCCUUGCAAAAAAUCUAGCAUCUUGAGUAUCUUCUCCACAAAUAUUGGUAAAAAAACAAUAGCUCUAACAAUAGCUGUGCAGUCUCUGUGUACGUGUGUCUAUGUGUACGUUAUAUGUGUGAUAUUUUACCUCCGGAUGGUGUUACCAAAAUUAAGAGCUCUGUUUAAUUGGCUUCAAGUAAGCGCUUACAUAAAUUCUAAAUGUAGUAGAAAUUAAUCCAAUGUCUUUCAAGUUAACUUGAUGUGAAUUAACUUUUGGUAAAUGAAAGCUUGUUUAAGUUUGUUGGUUUGAUUGAAAAUAGUCUUCUUGUCAGAGUUGUCAGUAUUUGCAUAUGAUGCAGGCAUGCAGCCUGGGUUUACUAGUCAAAUAAGUUCACAUUGUCUGUUAAAUUCGUCAGCAAAAUAAUAGCUUUAAAGGAUGACCAGUUUUGUCUAAUGUCUCAUGAAGUUUUUGUGGGUACAAUAACUGUUUUAUGGUCUGUAUACUUGAAAAAAAAAAAAAAAGCUUCCAAAUUGUUUUGAUAACAAUCUUGAGUUUUGCCAAGUUAAGUUAAAUGAUAAAAAUCUGAGCAUCUGGGUCAUUUUUGGAUUGGAUAGCACACAAGCAUUAUAGCCAAACUUAUCUAAGUUAUCUACUUUUGGCUUCUUAUUGCAGAGAGGCUAAAAGUCUUUGGGUCUGUUAUUGUAAAGCAGCGUGUUUCUAGAAAUUAUGAAGUGUUUAGAAUGCUGGUAUAAAAGACAAUUCAUAAUUGCUUACCUUUUUAGUGUUUACUAUGGUCUGUUAAGGGUUAAAAGUUCUUAUUAACCUAUAUAAUUAAAGCUACUGGAAGUUAAUAAGGAAAACAGCUCUGUAUUGAAGGAAAGUUAAAAUGUAUGUUUUCAGUAAAGAGGGUAUAAAGAAUGGAAGUAUUUUUGUUUGAUGGGUUAAGAAAGAUAAGUUUGUCCUAAAGUACUAGAAAGAAAAAAAGACAGACUUUGGGACAAAUUCUGAAGGCAAAAAGAAAGUUGUAGAUUUGUGAAGGAGGAAUUCUGAAAGGAGUUUUAUGCCUGGUCAAGUAGACUAAGAUUAGAGUAAAUCCAAUUAAGUGAAUGAGUUUUAAUGUUAAAAAUAAGCUGGUACAGAAAUUAAAAUUUGGUUUUCUCUCAAAGCAUAAUUUUCUUGAACUUUUGGCCUGCUCUAACUCUACCUAAAAGACAGAAAAUCUAUGUUUUGUUAAAAUAAUUUCCUAUAUUCAGAAAGAAAGAGGUCUCUUCUAAAAUUUUUUUGACGGUGUUGUUUGCUCUUGACUGUCUCUGUUGUCACUUUGAAUGGAUGCCUGAGCAUUGUUUAACAGUGAGCGUUGUUUCCUAUUGAACAAGCAUUUUAAAAACUUUUGAUAUUUUUGACAAGCUUCUCCCUCAAAAAUAUUCAAAUCCUGAAUAAAGGCUUUCUUUUGACCUAGUAGAUGGAAGAAGAAUUUCUCUGAGGAUUUUCAGAGGGCCCCUGAGACUUCUCAAAGAAAUUUGCUCUCUUCCUAUAAGGAGGAAAAUACUAAAUUAAUUAGGUUUAUUUGGUUUACUAAAUUACAUGGGAAGCAUUGUCAAAUAAGCGAUGAUAAACUUUCUUAUGUGGUAUUACGUGGGUGAAUGUUAUUAAUAUACGUGUCUUAACAUUAUAUAGCAUUCCUAAAAUUCUAAUCUGUUCUGGUUAUCAGUCAUAAUUCCAGUUAUUAUCUUAAAGUGUUAUAUGUCACAGAAAUAGCCAAGUUUCUUUGUCAAUUGCCCUUUUGAGUCUUUUGUCCAUUUGCAGAUAGUUGCUGUUUUACACUGAUGCUUUUUGCUUUUGCAAAUAUGUUUCAUGUCCAGAGAAAUUCCUGGAAAGGAUUCUGACACAAGGGUUCUAAACUACAGGUUUCUGAUAAACUUUCAGAUUGUAAAACUGAACUGGGUAAGAAAUUACAGAAUUCUAACAGAAACUAAGCUCAUAGACCUGCUAACAGAAGAUUAAACUCAAUAAUCAAUUAUACAGGACUGUGUGAACUGAUGAGAAUGAUUAUAAUUUUUUAUGACUUCUGUUUGAAAUAUUGCUGAGUUUUGAUGUUUUGUUUUGUUUUCUCAUGUUUAAGGAAAUCUUUCUUUCUUUUCUCUUAUGCUAACUAUGACUUACAGCAAUUUAGUGAAAUACAUCUUUAUGAGCAAAACUGAAACAUUUGUCUUUUUCUCCCGACCUGAUCCCUCCAGAAUUUGGAAACUCUUUGUGAGUACGGUUAUUUCGUGGCAAUAUAGUUAUUUGCAUAAGUUCAAUAAGAAUUUGGUCUCCUUAUAACAGGACACAUUGGUUAUCUUACCAAGGCUUUGACUGGAAUGUCAUAUUUGAGCGAAACAUACAGGCUCGGAUAUGACAAGACAGCUUUUCAGGAACAAAGAUUGGACUUUCUGGAAUACAGCCACUUGGAAACAUGGGCCUGGUACCUUGUUUACAGAGAUUCUGGCAAUCUUACCUGGUAAGUAAGGAAGCUUGCUUAUCUGGCAGGUGCAAGGAACCUCAGAAUAUUUUGGAGGACCUCGAGAAGAGAGGAGUCCACCCAAAUCUGGAGGUACUGCAGGCAAAAUCUGAUGGCAAGUCCUUGGCUUGGCUUUUCUGGCCUCGAGAGGCCUUUACAGUUCAAUCUGAGAUUCCUCAUAAGAAAAAUUCCAGCAAAGCAGAUUUAAAAAGCCUGUAUAAUCAAUUGCCAUUCUUGCUGCACUUAUGUCAAUAAUUGGACCAAGUUUUAUUGAAACUACACUUAUUUUGCAAACCAGUUAAUCUUAAUUUGGCUAUCUUUUGUAAAAAUGAGGGUGAUUUUAGAGAGAAAAAUUAUGUUUCAGUAGAAGCUAUAGUACGCAUUUAUGGAUAUUAGAUUCUAGCUCUUCUCCUCUACAAGAGUCAUCUAUUACUAAUCAUGUCUCCUUGUGGCCAUCUGUCUCUGAUACCUGGGAGUUCCCUGGCCACAAUCAAACCUUUUCCUUCAAUACUGCUGCCCAAAUACUAACUAGAUUUGCCUUGUCAUAGGUGGAUCAUAAACGACAAGUUCCAAAGGUAAAGUCCCCAACUUAUUGAUACACACAGGAUGGACUAUAUCAAAUUUGGGACGAAUAUAUUUGGCUCACUCCUGCUAGUGAUCAACUCAGUAAAAGUCCACUCUAUCUUGGGAACAAACCAAUCACACCUGUGAUACAUGGCCUAAUAGCACCCGACCUAUGGGAAAAUUCCCUGUCAUAUGUGUUCUCAUAUCAUAAGCUUAAAAAAUACUGAUUGGUUUGGGACUGACUGGGAUAGACGGCCCAGCACGCGUUGGUUAGCCCCUAAUGGCACUCAGUGGCUAUGUGGCUCCAACUUAUGGCUUUGGCUGCCACCUGGAUGGAUUGGACGAUGCACUCUAGGCUUUGUCAGGAUGCAAGGUCUACAUUUACUAUCUCUCCUCCUGCUAACCGACCCAACCUGCAACAGCGCUGGACCUGCUCUGUCUUCCACUGGUAUGACCACGUUGCCUCAAUUUUCCUUCCCCAGUUAGGAAUCGAAAGUGUCAUCUGGCCCAUGGAAGCUCUAAACAAAUUUACUAUGAAAGCGUUAAAAUGAUACACAACAUAGCCUUUUGCUGCUUGAUUUAGAAGUGUCCCAAAUGUAUAAGGCAGUCCUCCAAAACCGAAUGGCACUAGAUGUCUUGACAGCAGCACAGGGGGCACCUGUGCCAUUAUAAAAACUGAAUGUUGUGUCUAUAUUCCUGACUACCAUCAAAAUAUCUCUGGCUUCCUGUCUGAUAUGAGCCACCAAGUUAAGUCCAUGUCUGACCCUCCCCUAUCUCUAAAUGACUGUUUGAACUCCUGGUCAGGACGAGGUUUCUAGACUACUACCAAAACCUUAUUCAUUGGGUUAAUCAUAUUGCUAGUAUUUCCUAUUAUAAUUUGUUGUCUGUUUCGUUGUUUGUCUUCCGCAUGUCAACAAAGUUUCACCUCCUGGACCACCACUCGACAAAUGAUUCUCUCGUCCCCAGAGGCUCUGGAUGCCUUGUCAGCCUUGGACUCCACGGGUGCAGUCUUCCGGUCCGCUGAACCCCCUACCUAUACCUAUGGCCCCAUUUAGGGACAGCUCUACGACCUUGUACAGCCGGAAGUAGUUACAGAAGACUGACCGUCGUCCAUAUCCCCAAAAGAUUUUGGGGCCAAAUGGGUUCAGGGGGGGUUUAUGAUGUGGAUUAAGGCUGCCCCAGCUAGAGAAGCCCAAGGUGACCUGGCCUACGUGCCAAACUAUACGACCCAGUGGACUUUUUUUAUGGUAUGAAUUAGGACUGCCCCAGGGAGAGAAGCCCGGGGCAUCCUCACCUGCAUGCCGAUCUAUAUGGCCAGAUUCGUAUCUAAAGUUAUAUGACCGCACAAUAACCAGACCCCAUCUGCACUGAAAUCAUUUAAUGACUUUUUACAUCAUCUUUUCUUUUCUCCAGUAAAAAUAAGUCACGUACCCAUGCCUUAUAAAAUUAGCCCUAACCCUCAACUCGGCAGCAGCAGGAGCUCUGACCGCCCGUGGGUCCUGUCCCCACGCACCAGCUCUGCCUGCCCAUGGGUCCUGUCCCCAUGCCAGCGGCAGCAGCAGCAGAAGCUCUGCCUGCCCAUGGGUCCUGUCCCCAUGCUAUUCCACACUAUUCUCUAAAUAAAAGAGCACUACUGCCAGAUCUUGAGAGUCUAAGAAAUCUUUCUUUCGACUCCUCGGCUCACCGAUCCCGC